CAUUUUGUAGCUUUUGCAAAGUUUGGUGUCCCAGCUGUAACAGAAGGUGUGAAAGUUGUCGACAGUUCAGGGACUGAGUUGGAUGAAGAUGUUUUUGAGGAUGUGGUAAUGAAUCCCUCAACUGGGGUGUUGACCAUCAAAUAUGACUCAGAAUCUGUCUCAAAAGUAGCCUCUCCUGAGGCGUCCCAACCAUCAUCCCUCAAUUCUUGGGACUCUGGGGAUACAGACAUCAUUCCUGAUAGUCCCUCCAGAAAACGCCGGAGGCUGGAUGCGGAAGCUAAGCAUUUGGUGGAAUCAGUUCUUACCAACAAACCGGGUGGGGAACGUAUAAUAAAUGAAUACAGCCGAACCAAGUCCUUGACAGAUGAAACCAGACGGAAAAUGGUUUACAUG
Fundulus heteroclitus (mummichog) is the source of this 393-nucleotide long non-coding RNA. RefSeq lists it as uncharacterized. The transcript has 3 exons. NCBI's taxonomy places the organism in Eukaryota, Metazoa, Chordata, Actinopteri, Cyprinodontiformes, Fundulidae. The record is from RefSeq and is a predicted model, not a curated record.